Molecule: long non-coding RNA, 449 nt
Filed under: Marmota monax (woodchuck)
Lineage: Eukaryota; Metazoa; Chordata; Mammalia; Rodentia; Sciuridae
Source: RNAcentral
CAGCUUCAGUUGGCCAGUGAACAGCUGUAUACACCAGCAUCUACUGUGCGCCAGACUCAGAAGUCCGAGAUGGGGAUUUUAGGGUGAAUCUAACUUCUGAAUCAUUGAGAAUGAAAUCUGAUAGAGGCGGUAUAAGAGGAAUGAGGAUGAGACACAUCGGACAAGUGGCUUUUCAGAUGGAGUGAAACUUUAAUCCUGCGGUAUAGGAGCCAAUCAUGCAAGAGAGAGACAGACAAACAGACAGACCCCGACCCCCUUGGAAGCUGAAUGGCCUAUGCAAAGGCACUGAAAUCAAAGCAAACUGGGCAUGUGUGUGCAUGGGCUCUGGUAGAGGACUCAGGUCCAGAUAGUAAAGGGCUUCAGAAUGUGUGUGAAUUUUGUUGGAUUUUGUUCUCAGUGGGAUGGAAAACCAUUGGAAUUGUAAGCAGGCAAUUAACAUCACAAUGAGC